UAGGGAAUCUUCGGCAAUGGACGGAAGUCUGACUGAGCAACGCCGCGUGAGUGAAGAAGGCUUUCGGUUCGUAAAGCUCUGUUGUUAGAGAAGAACGCUGGCAGGAGUGGAAAAUCCACCAAGUGACGGUAACUAACCAGAAAGGGACGGCUAACUACGUGCCAGCAGCCGCGGUAAUACGUAGGUCCCGAGCGUUGCCCGGACUUACUGGGCGUAAAGCGAGCGCAGGCGGUUCUUUAAGUCUGAAGUUAAAGGCAGUGGCUUAACCAUUGUACGCUUUGGAAACUGGGGGACUUGGGUGCAGAAAGAGAGAGUGGAAUUCCAUGUGUAACGGUGAAAUGCGUAGAUAUAUGGAGAAACACCGGUGGCGAGAGCGGCUCUCUGGUCUAAAACUGGCGCUGAGGCUCGAAAGCGUGGGGAGCAAACAGG
RNAcentral lists this ribosomal RNA (429 nucleotides) under Bacillota bacterium. Its description in RNAcentral is "Firmicutes bacterium partial 16S ribosomal RNA". It matches the Rfam family "Bacterial small subunit ribosomal RNA", at positions 355 to 776 of the family's 1533-position model. The record is from RNAcentral. Lineage: Bacteria; Bacillati; Bacillota.